This 305-nucleotide ribosomal RNA is filed under the name uncultured bacterium. RNAcentral's name for it is "bacterial SSU rRNA". It matches the Rfam family "Bacterial small subunit ribosomal RNA", at positions 336 to 658 of the family's 1533-position model. The record is from RNAcentral.
UUCCUACGGGAGGCAGCAGUAGGGAAUAUUGCUCAAUGGGGGAAACCCUGAAGCAGCAACGCCGCGUGGAGGAUGAAGGUUUUCGGAUUGUAAACUCCUUUUGUUAGAGAAGAUAAUGACGGUAUCUAACGAAUAAGCACCGGCUAACUCCGUGCCAGCAGCCGCGGUAAUACGGAGGGUGCAAGCGUUACUCGGAAUCACUGGGCGUAAAGAGCGCGUAGGCGGGAUAGCAAGUCAGAUGUGAAAUCCUAUGGCUUAACCAUAGAACUGCAUUUGAAACUGUAUUUCUUGAGUGCUGGAGAGGG